AGCAGCCGCGGUAAUUCCAGCUCCAAUAGCGUAUAUUAAAGUUGUUGCAGUUAAAAAGCUCGUAGUUGAAUUUCAGGCCUGGCUGGACGGUCCGCCCUUCGGGUGAGUACUGUCUGUGGUCGGGUCCUACCUUCUGGCGAAGCGUCAUGGCCUUAACCGGCCGUGGCGGGGAACCAGGACUUUUACUGUGAAAAAAUUAGAGUGUUCAAAGCAGGCAAUCGCUUGGAUACACUAGCAUGGAAUAAUGGAAUAGGACGAUGGUUCUAUUUGUUGGUUUCUAGGACCGUUGUAAUGAUUAAUAGGGAUAGUUGGGGGCAUUAGUAUUCAAUUGUCAGAGGUGAAAUUCUUGGAUUUAUUGAAGACUAACUACUGCGAAAGCAUUUGCCAAGGAUGUUUUCAUUAAUCAAGAACGAAAGUUAGGGGAUCGAAGACGAUCAGAUACCGUCGUAGUCUUAACCAUAAACUAUGCCGACUAGGAAUCGGGCGAUGUUGAUAAAAUGACGCGCUCGGCACCUCAUGG
RNAcentral lists this ribosomal RNA (520 nucleotides) under uncultured Paraglomus. Its description in RNAcentral is "SSU rRNA". It matches the Rfam family "Eukaryotic small subunit ribosomal RNA", at positions 569 to 1093 of the family's 1831-position model. Lineage: Eukaryota; Fungi; Glomeromycota; Glomeromycetes; Paraglomerales; Paraglomeraceae. The record is from RNAcentral.